AACGAACGCUGGCGGCAUGCCUAACACAUGCAAGUCGAACGAAACCUUCGGGUCUAUUGGCGCACGGCUUCGUAACGCGUGGGUACCUUCCCUUAUGGUCGGCAUAACUCCCCGACAGGGGUGCUAUUACCGGAUAAUGUCUUCUGACCAAAGAUUUAUCGCCUUUGGUUGGGCCCUCGUUGGAUUAGAUAGUUGGUAGGGUAAAAGCUUACCAAGGCGACGAUCCACAGAUGGGCUGAGAGGAUGAUCAGCCACACUGGGACUGAGACACGGCCCAGAAUCCUACGGGAGGGAGGAGUGGGGGAUAUUGGACCAUGGCGGAAGGGCUGAUCGAGCACGGACGGGUGAGUGAUGAAGGCAUGAAGGUUGUAAAGCUCUUUUAACCGGGAUGAUAAUGACAGUACCGGGAGAAUAAGCCCCGGCUAACUACGUG
This 433-nucleotide ribosomal RNA is filed under the name uncultured bacterium. Its description in RNAcentral is "partial 16S ribosomal RNA". It matches the Rfam family "Bacterial small subunit ribosomal RNA", at positions 29 to 507 of the family's 1533-position model. The record is from RNAcentral.